Molecule: long non-coding RNA, 3497 nt
Organism: Mya arenaria
Lineage: Eukaryota; Metazoa; Mollusca; Bivalvia; Myida; Myidae
Exons: 2
Source: RefSeq, a predicted model, not a curated record
GCCCUACAGUUUGUUGCAAUUCCACUCAAGGCUUGAAAAAUGGUUCCUUCAUUACUAUUUAUGUCAAUUAUAUAAAAUUGGAAGGGACACCCUUUCCCCCUCCUACCUCAUGUAACAUACUGAGACCCAAACUAAUGAAGGACCUUCACAUUUCAAUCAUGCAUGAACUUACGGUUUGUGCAUAUUCAUUACAAUUCAAAUUGCUACAGGUACGACUCUGAACGUAUAGCAAUCUUCAACAAACCACAUUGGAAUAAGCUUGCCUCUGUCUGGUUUCUCGAAGAAACUCGUAAGCAAAUAGUAAUUUUUAUCUUCAUAGAAAUGCAUAUAAAUACAGAUAUUAAACAUGGAGCUAUUCGGUAAAUAAUCCAUUCACAAACUACCGUAGUAAUGUUUGUCACUGUAGGCAGUAUAUAUUUUGGAUGUAAAGUUGGUAAAACUGGUGUCGAUGAAAGCCAGUGUGGUGUAUCAGAGUCAGUUUCGGCAUUUUCUUACAGUUGUUUGGGGGAUUACCUUUCCCUUUCCUAUCUCCGAAUGCAUUCCAAUGGAGAUUCGUGCUGAUAUUUUUCCUGGCAUUCCCCUGUUAAUAUUGUACGGAACCUGUCUAUCCUAAUUUUAGACUGGCACCGGUUACACCUGUCUGGGAAUAAAAGUUUUGAAUUUUCUAGUCUCUGAAAUUGAUUCUGUUUAAAACCAAUUCUCUCAAAAGUUGUUAUGAUAAUAUUUGACAUUGGUCUGUAGACCACAAAAAACGCUCAGGUCAAAGCUUUUUCUGCGAACAUUUGGACAAGGACUUUUAAAUUUUGAGAAAUUUUAAUGCUUUAAAAAUGAGAAGGUUUAACAUUUUAACCCUUUGAGCUGAUUUACUCAAAAUGAGGGCAGAGAAAUAACACAACUGCAUCAGCACAAUCAAUGAUUUCAUCAUUUCUAUUAUUAUUAUUUAAUUUUAUAUAACUUUUUGGGGAAAAUGUAUAAUAUAAUAAAAAACAACAGAAACAUUAAGCUUGGAAGAAGCGGAAAUUCUGUCCCUUUCCUGAAGAAGGUAAAAAAGCAAUAAUUCAUACAUGUAGCUAUGGAAUUAUAAGGUUGUUUAUUUGUGUUUUGUAUUAUUUGCAACUUCUAUUGAUGUAAACUUCUUUACAAGUUAAAAGUUGAAAGAAAUACUUCUGCACAGCCUGUUGCCAGUGUAAGAAAAACAUUGCCAGGUAUUUGUAGUAAUACAUUUGUCCUAUGGGGCUUACUCACUUUUACAUGUUGAAAUACUACAAGAUAUUACAAGCCAAGGAAUUAUGUCCUGAUGUUUAUUGAGAACUAGAUCCCGGAUUAUUUUAUUAAUAUUCUUUACAGUUUCUCUCGAAAUCUUGCAAGUAAUUCUUCACGAUGAGUUGGGCAGCAUAUGUGAGCGACCAAUUGUUCACCCCGGGUCAGAUGUGCAGUGCCGGAAUUUACGGGCUGGACGGUGGCGAAUGGGCGGUGCAGGGAGACAUUCGACCCACCCCAGCAGAGAUCACCCGUCUAAUUGCCAUCCUACAGGGCAAGGAAACUGACUUUAAUAGCAUCAAGAUUGGUGGAAUGAGCUUUCUGUACAUCACGCAUGACCCGGCGGAAGGUUGCAUCACAUUGAAUCGCAUACAUCCGCCAACAGAGGAUGAAAAAUACGUGUGUUGUGGCUAUCUGUCGAAGGGCUGCUUUAUAUUCGGGGCUGUUGUCGGUAACUACCGCAUGGGAAAUUGUAGUAAGGUGACUUGUCGGCUAAGAGACUACCUGAAACAAGUAGGAUAUUAACUGUGUGUGCAAGCCUUGAAAAACAUCAUAGAUUGUUUUAGACGUAUAAUAAAAUUUGUUGUGGAGAUUGACAAUUCAUUAGGAUUUAUAUAAAUUUUACAGUCAAAGGGAAGCAACUGUUGCAGCUUCUGAGCAAUAUAAACGCUGGUUGUGUGCCUUGCUGUUGUGUUUUUGUGAUAUGAGUAUGGUGCUAUUAUGUUAAAAUUUCUUAAGAAAAGAGAAAUCCUUCCAAAAAAAUUAUCUGCAAAAAGCUUUGUACAAGAUCUUGGAUAUAACUACUUGAACGACAGAAGUCCCCAUUUUUACCAGCCUUGGUCAUAAUUAUGUCAAACAGUUUAAGUGACUUGUUAUAAAGGGUAAAGAAUAAAAUGUGUUAUUUGAUGAUUUAAAAAAAUUCAUGAUAUGAUAGACUUCAUACAGAUUUGUUCUUGUUACAUUUGUGCUGCUUUUUAUUAUGAAGUUUAAAUUUGUUCAUUUUUUGCAAUAUUACUAUUAUAAUGCUUUUUAUUUUUACUGAAUGCGGUGAUAUGGAAAAGAUACAUGAUAGUUGAAGUAUUGUUUGGCUUGUUGAGGAAGAAAGACCAGGUAUUGUUGUAGCCUUGAAGUGUUGUCAGCGUUAUCAUCGGCAGCGUUGUCCCAGUGCCAAGAUUUUAACCAUGGCCAUUACUAAAAAAUUGUUGAACAUAUUUUAAUGAUACUUGGUAUCAUAUUGUAAGAGAAAUGUUUGACAAGGCCCAUAACUCUGACUUAAAUAAUUGUAAAGUUAUGCCCCUUUUUUAACUGAAAAAAUAGGCAAGCGUUGGUGCUAGCUCUGUGCGCUAUUAAUAGCUAUUUUUUUACACCAAGUGAUCACUUUUUUGUGGUUGACAGUACAUGUAUGAGUAGAAUUAUUAUUGGUGUCCUGACUCUGUUGUCUGCUUGACUUGCGGCUGUAGUAAUUUUCAGAGGUGAUGAAUAUUUCAUAUAAUGUUAAUACCUUAAGGGACAAAAGGCAAAAAACAUGUUUUAGGCCACACCAAUUAAAACCAAUCAUUAAACCAAUUUAAAUCAUUUUGAUAUACUAAUAACAGAUUUUUGACGAAAAAAAUAACGGUUUCAGUCUUCACUGAUUUGUCAGAGACAAAUAAUAACAUGUAGCUUUUUCUGUGUUCAAUGAUGCAGUAUGAAUGGCUUUCACAAGAUUUUUCAACUUUUUUUUCUUCUAAAAUAAAAAUGCAAAUUAUAAAUUUUGCUUUUUUUUUCUAAAAAAAUGGUGUAGUAGAUCUGUCAAAUGAAAACUUAAAUUUGGUGUGGCCUUAUGAAAAAUAGCAAGGUUUAAUAUAAAACCUUUCGAGUGUGAAAUACUCAACAAAAAUGACAAGAUUUUGCUUAUUUUAUGAGCAUGCAAGGUAAUCUAUUUUAAUAGAUGUGUUUGAAAUCUUCAGAAUAUGCUCUAAUUUGAUGGAACAAGUCAGUUUAAAUAAAAAGGUGAUUCCUGGGGCUGUAUUCAAUAUUGUUCUUAUCCUUGACCUUAGACAUGCCUCAGUGAUUCCAUGCAGUUCAUUGGCCAGUUAUUUUUACAGUCCAAUCAAAACACUUGGAUUCAAAUUUUAAAAUGAAUCAAAAUGUAAGUUGGUCACUGAAUACAGCCCCUUAUUAACAAAUCAUCUCAUUCUUUUGUGCCAUUUAUGUCAUUGUAUUGCCAGAAAGUGCCAAAUAAAUUGUAAUAAUUU